This 69-nucleotide transfer RNA is filed under the name Ictidomys tridecemlineatus (thirteen-lined ground squirrel). Its description in RNAcentral is "Spermophilus tridecemlineatus (thirteen-lined ground squirrel) tRNA". It matches the Rfam family "tRNA". Rfam says of the family: Transfer RNA (tRNA) molecules are approximately 80 nucleotides in length. Their secondary structure includes four short double-helical elements and three loops (D, anti-codon, and T loops). Further hydrogen bonds mediate the characteristic L-shaped molecular structure. tRNAs have two regions of fundamental functional importance: the anti-codon, which is responsible for specific mRNA codon recognition, and the 3' end, to which the tRNAs corresponding amino acid is attached (by aminoacyl-tRNA synthetases). tRNAs cope with the degeneracy of the genetic code in two manners: having more than one tRNA (with a specific anti-codon) for a particular amino acid; and 'wobble' base-pairing, i.e. permitting non-standard base-pairing at the 3rd anti-codon position. The record is from Rfam by way of RNAcentral. Lineage: Eukaryota; Metazoa; Chordata; Mammalia; Rodentia; Sciuridae.
GGUGUUGUAGCUCAGUGGCAGAGUGCUUGCCUAGCAAGUGUUAGGUACUGGGUUCGAUUCUCAGCACCA